UUGGAGGGCAAGUCUGGUGCCAGCAGCCGCGGUAAUUCCAGCUCCAAUAGCGUAUAUUAAAGUUGUUGCAGUUAAAACGCUCGUAGUUGAAUUUCGGGAUCAAUUUAUUGGUCGUGCCAACGGUACGCACUGGUACAAUUGGUUUCUCCCUUCUGACGAAGCAUGAUGUCAUUAAUUUGAUGUCGUGGGGAAUCAGGACUGUUACUUUGAAAAAAUUAGAGUGUUUAAAGCAGGCUUUGGCUUGAAUACAUUAGCAUGGAAUAAUGAAAUAGGACGUUCGAUCCUAUUUUGUUGGUUUCUAGGAUUGACGUAAUGAUUAAUAGGGAUAGUUGGGGGCAUUAGUAUUCAAUUGUCAGAGGUGAAAUUCUUGGAUUUAUUGAAGACUAACUACUGCGAAAGCAUUUGCCAAGGAUGUUUUCAUUAAUCAAGAACGAAAGUUAGGGGAUCGAAGACGAUCAGAUACCGUCGUAGUCUUAACCAUAAACUAUGCCGACUAGGGAUCGGAUGAUGUUAAUUUUUUAAUGACUCAUUCGGCGCCUUACGGGAAAC
RNAcentral lists this ribosomal RNA (549 nucleotides) under uncultured Glomeromycotina. Its description in RNAcentral is "SSU rRNA". It matches the Rfam family "Eukaryotic small subunit ribosomal RNA", at positions 548 to 1098 of the family's 1831-position model. Lineage: Eukaryota; Fungi; Glomeromycota. The record is from RNAcentral.